UAAUUGAAGAGUUUGAUCAUGGCUCAGAUUGAACGCUGGCGGCAGGCCUAACACAUGCAAGUCGAGCGGCAGCACAGAGGAACUUGUUCCUUGGGUGGCGAGCGGCGGACGGGUGAGUAAUGCCUGGGAAAUUGCCCGGUAGAGGGGGAUAACCAUUGGAAACGAUGGCUAAUACCGCAUAACCUCGCAAGAGCAA
RNAcentral lists this ribosomal RNA (196 nucleotides) under Vibrio cholerae. RNAcentral's name for it is "partial 16S ribosomal RNA". It matches the Rfam family "Bacterial small subunit ribosomal RNA", at positions 1 to 204 of the family's 1533-position model. Lineage: Bacteria; Pseudomonadati; Pseudomonadota; Gammaproteobacteria; Vibrionales; Vibrionaceae. The record is from RNAcentral.